AUUGAACGCUGGCGGCAUGCCUUACACAUGCAAGUCGAACGGUAACAGGUCUUCGGAUGCUGACGAGUGGCGAACGGGUGAGUAAUACAUCGGAACGUGCCCGAUCGUGGGGGAUAACGAGGCGAAAGCUUUGCUAAUACCGCAUACGAUCUACGGAUGAAAGCGGGGGAGCUUCGGACCUCGCGCGGACGGAGCGGCCGAUGGCAGAUUAGGUAGUUGGUGGGAUAAAAGCUUACCAAGCCGACGAUCUGUAGCUGGUCUGAGAGGAUGAUCAGCCACACUGGGACUGAGACACGGCCCAGACUCCUACGGGAGGCAGCAGUGGGGAAUUUUGGACAAUGGGCGAAAGCCUGAUCCAGCCAUGCCGCGUGCAGGAUGAAGGCCUUCGGGUUGUAAACUGCUUUUGUACGGAACGAAAAGCCUCUUUCUAAUAAAGAGGGGUCAUGACGGUACCGUAAGAAUAAGCACCGGCUAACUACGUG
RNAcentral lists this ribosomal RNA (482 nucleotides) under uncultured bacterium. RNAcentral's name for it is "partial 16S ribosomal RNA". It matches the Rfam family "Bacterial small subunit ribosomal RNA", at positions 30 to 507 of the family's 1533-position model. The record is from RNAcentral.